RNAcentral lists this ribosomal RNA (261 nucleotides) under uncultured soil bacterium. RNAcentral's name for it is "partial 16S ribosomal RNA". It matches the Rfam family "Bacterial small subunit ribosomal RNA", at positions 26 to 287 of the family's 1533-position model. The record is from RNAcentral.
AGGACAAACGCUGGCGGCGUGCAUAAAACAUGCAAGUCGGACGAGCCAAUCCUCGCAAGGGGAAAGGCUAGUGGCGAACGGCUGAGUAACACGUAGGUGAUCUGCCCUGAAGUGGGGGAUAACGACUCGAAAGAGUCGCUAAUACCGCAUGUGACCACCGAUCCGUUUUCGGUGCUCAAAGUCGUAAGACGCUUUAGGAGGAGCCUGCGGCGGAUUAGCUAGUUGGUGAGGUAAUGGCCCACCAAGGCUUCGAUCCGUAGC